RNAcentral lists this ribosomal RNA (165 nucleotides) under Aglaia tomentosa. RNAcentral describes it as "5.8S ribosomal RNA". It matches the Rfam family "5.8S ribosomal RNA". From Rfam's summary of the family: 5.8S ribosomal RNA (5.8S rRNA) is a component of the large subunit of the eukaryotic ribosome. It is transcribed by RNA polymerase I as part of the 45S precursor that also contains 18S and 28S rRNA. The record is from RNAcentral. Lineage: Eukaryota; Viridiplantae; Streptophyta; Magnoliopsida; Sapindales; Meliaceae.
CAAUACGACUCUCGGCAACGGAUAUCUCGGCUCUCGCAUCGAUGAAGAACGUAGCGAAAUGCGAUACUUGGUGUGAAUUGCAGAAUCCCGUGAACCAUCGAGUCUUUGAACGCAAGUUGCGCCCCAAGCCGUUAGGCUGAGGGCACGCCUGCCUGGGUGUCACGC